GUGCUAGCUUCGGCAGCACAUAUACUAAAAAUUGGAAUGAUACAGAGAAGAUUAGCAUGGCCUCUGUGCAAGGAUGACAUGCAAAUGCGUGAAGCAUUCCAUAUUUUU
RNAcentral lists this small nuclear RNA (108 nucleotides) under Canis lupus familiaris (dog). The record is from RNAcentral. Lineage: Eukaryota; Metazoa; Chordata; Mammalia; Carnivora; Canidae. RNAcentral also lists the same sequence under 1 other name.